Molecule: transfer RNA, 72 nt
Filed under: Saccoglossus kowalevskii
Lineage: Eukaryota; Metazoa; Hemichordata; Enteropneusta; Harrimaniidae
Description: tRNA-Asp
Rfam family: tRNA
About the family: Transfer RNA (tRNA) molecules are approximately 80 nucleotides in length. Their secondary structure includes four short double-helical elements and three loops (D, anti-codon, and T loops).
Source: RNAcentral
UCCUCGAUAGUAUAGUGGUGAGUAUCUCCGCCUGUCACGCGGAAGACCGGGGUUCAAUUCCCCGUCGGGUGG